Alosa sapidissima (American shad) is the source of this 89-nucleotide long non-coding RNA. RefSeq lists it as uncharacterized. The record is from RefSeq and is a predicted model, not a curated record. The transcript has 3 exons. NCBI's taxonomy places the organism in Eukaryota, Metazoa, Chordata, Actinopteri, Clupeiformes, Clupeidae.
GUGGUGGGCUGGCCCUGUACACCCUAAGGAUCAGAUUCCCCCUGAGAAAAAGUGUGAUGUGAUAUACGAGAUCCCUUGCCUAACAUGCA